UAGCGACAGGCCUAACACAUGCAAGUCGAGGGGCAGCACAAGGAGCAAUCUGAGGUGGCGACCGGCGCACGGGUGAGUAACACGUAUGCAACCUGCCUGUAAGCGGGGAAUAACCCGUUGAAAGACGGACUAAUACCGCAUAAUACUAAAUUACUGCAUGGUAAUUUAUUUAAACAUUUAUGGCUUACAGAUGGGCAUGCGCAUGAUUAGCUAGUUGGAGAGGUAACGGCUCCCCAAGGCAACGAUCAUUAGGGGUUCUGAGAGGAAGGUCCCCCACACUGGUACUGAGACACGGACCAGACUCCUACGGGAGGCAGCAGUGAGGAAUAUUGGUCAAUGGACGAGAGUCUGAACCAGCCAAGUCGCGUGCAGGAAGAAUUGUCCUAUGGAUUGUAAACUGCUUUUGCAGGGGAAUAAAGUGCAUCACGUGUGAUGUUUUGUAUGUACUCUGCGAAUAAGGAUCGGCUAACUCCGUGCCAGCCGCUGC
RNAcentral lists this ribosomal RNA (487 nucleotides) under uncultured bacterium. RNAcentral's name for it is "bacterial SSU rRNA". It matches the Rfam family "Bacterial small subunit ribosomal RNA", at positions 37 to 518 of the family's 1533-position model. The record is from RNAcentral.